RNAcentral lists this unclassified non-coding RNA (263 nucleotides) under Hevea brasiliensis (rubber tree). The record is from RNAcentral. Lineage: Eukaryota; Viridiplantae; Streptophyta; Magnoliopsida; Malpighiales; Euphorbiaceae.
GUUUGCGAAAGAUGGUUUUAAAUAACAGCUGUUACGUAAUGCGACUAACAUGACAGCCGUUAUUUAUAGGUAAAUAAGAGAAUCAUUACCCUUUACCCUGUUAGUUAAAGGCAGAUUUUGAAAUGCAUGAGUGUCACCACCAUUACUUAAUGGUAACAGUUGUUAUUUACCGUUACGUAACGAUAACGGCUGUGACUUAAUAAUUCAGCUUUAUACAAAUCACAUGGCAGCAGUGUUUUCUAAGCUUUCUUUAAUUCUCUAUG